This 1076-nucleotide long non-coding RNA is filed under the name Falco tinnunculus (common kestrel). RNAcentral describes it as "lncRNA (ENSFTIG00000015125.1)". The record is from RNAcentral. Lineage: Eukaryota; Metazoa; Chordata; Aves; Falconiformes; Falconidae.
AGGGCCGUCCUUGCCACUCCGGGGAGUCAGGAUAACGUGCUCGGAGAGGGCACCGCUUUGUUUCCAUUACUGAUAGGAGAAGCAGCCACAGGAGAAAAAAAAAUGUGCUUUGUUGUUAAAGCUGUGUCUGGUUUAUACCCACACCAUGAACAACCUUCCAAGUGACAGUGGGUUUGCAAUGUCUGUUUUCUUUCUGGUUGACUUCUGUGGUCAGGAAAGCGUUACCCACCUGACUGUGUGAAGAGACUAGCAGGGAGAGAGGGGAGAAGGAAAGGCCCAGGGAAAAAGCCAAACCUGCUAAUGGAUUUAUCCUAAAGUUAGGGAUGAAGGAAGUUACAAGGACUUCUCAGCUCAUGAAAGGCCUUCCCUCAUGGACCACCCUCCACUGAACUAUCCCAUUUAGACCCCUGCCCUCACUCACCUGGGGACGCUGGAUAACCAGUAGAAGCAAAGAAGAGACACAGUGUCUUGCCCUUACCUGCCAGUGCUUACAAAUAUUGCUUGCACUGGGCAGCUGAAUCCACAAACAAAUUAAAUUCUUUCUCAGAUGAACACAAUGAUCACACAUGAUCAUUUUCCUUCCAGCUCUUUCCUCUGGAGCAGAGGGAGGAGAUGCUCUCCCAGUGUCACAGCGAGUUGUGCAGCACUCAGACCCAGCACCAUCAGCCCUCUCCACUUGCUUCACUGCUGCAGUAGCUGCAGCUUUAGCAUGGACUCUUGCAGACAGCUACGACUCUAGUGAAAUGCUUGAGGUUUUGGAGAUCAUUUGUAACUUCUUGGUAUGCUACCAAGGCCCGGAUGGAAGCCAAAGACGACGACAAGGAAGGGCUCAUAGAAAGUGGAGGACAGGCUGGCAGUAUGGCUGCAGACACUAAGUCUUCCUGCAAUUCAGUGAUCUGAGAAUCCAGGUCAUCGUUUCCGUCAGAGCUGCUUCCUCCUCCAUCUCUGCUGAGCUGCUCGCAGCUCUUCCUUCCUGGGCAGACCUCCACGCUCCUCGGACUGCGCCUGCAGAUGCGGUACCUCCCUCCUGCUCUGUACGCUCUGUCUCCAGCUCCUGUCACAGUUUUCCUCCCUGA